Molecule: long non-coding RNA, 257 nt
Organism: Haliotis rubra (blacklip abalone)
Lineage: Eukaryota; Metazoa; Mollusca; Gastropoda; Lepetellida; Haliotidae
Exons: 2
Source: RefSeq, a predicted model, not a curated record
GCGGAAAACAGCAGACAUACGGCAACUGGAAGGUCCAUAUGAAAUAUACAGAUAGUCCACAGUAAUGAGAGCAGCCAAACGUUACACUGGUUCAACAAAUGCAUCGUUAAAAAGGCAUCUCCCUACAUGAAAAUAUUUGUUCAGCAAUCCUCAAGUUUCAACAUUUUCAUGUGCACCCUUUCAACAGUAACGUGUAUUUUUUGUUAUGAAACCAUCUUCUAAUGCAUGCUAAUAAACGAUGUCUGUGUCCCCAAGGA